RNAcentral lists this small RNA (61 nucleotides) under Oryza sativa Japonica Group (Japanese rice). Its description in RNAcentral is "sRNA Os04g0644250". Lineage: Eukaryota; Viridiplantae; Streptophyta; Magnoliopsida; Poales; Poaceae. The record is from RNAcentral.
UGGCAUAUCUCAAACUUUACAAAAUUAUAAUGGCAUGGUUCCAAUUUAUCCUUUUUUAUUA